GACGAACGCUGGCGGCGUGCUUAACACAUGCAAGUCGAACGGAAAGGCCCUGCUUUUGUGGGGUGCUCGAGUGGCGAACGGGGGAGUAACACGUGAGUAACCUGCCCUUGACUUUGGGAUAACUUCAGGAAACUGGGGCUAAUACCAGAUAGGAGCUCCUGCUGCAUGGUGGGGGUUGGAAAGUUUCGGCGGUUGGGGAUGGACUCGCGGCUUAUCAGCUUGUUGGUGGGGUAGUGGCUUACCAAGGCUUUGACGGGUAGCCGGCAUGCGAGGGGGACCGGCCACAUUGCGCCUGAGGUAGGGCCCAGACUCCUACGGGAGGCAGCAGUGGGGAAUAUUGCACAAUGGGCGGAAGCCUGAUGCAGCAACGCCGCGUGCGGGAUGACGGCCUUCGGGUUGAGAACCGCAUUCGCCUGUGACGAAGCGUGAGUGACGGUAAUGGGUAAAGAAGCACCGGCUAACUACGUG
RNAcentral lists this ribosomal RNA (468 nucleotides) under uncultured bacterium. RNAcentral describes it as "partial 16S ribosomal RNA". It matches the Rfam family "Bacterial small subunit ribosomal RNA", at positions 28 to 507 of the family's 1533-position model. The record is from RNAcentral.